The submitters of this non-coding RNA (65 nucleotides) gave its source as unclassified sequences. The record is from Rfam.
UAUAUUUGCGCGUCCAAUAAAUUAAUAUUGGUUACAUAAGAAUUAUUUACAAAAAUAUUGGCAUG